RNAcentral lists this small RNA (3864 nucleotides) under Arabidopsis thaliana (thale cress). RNAcentral describes it as "ATSL265760". The stretch from base 3013 to 3233 matches the Rfam family "MIR854 microRNA precursor family". Lineage: Eukaryota; Viridiplantae; Streptophyta; Magnoliopsida; Brassicales; Brassicaceae. The record is from RNAcentral.
UCCUUUAUGUACUCCAAUGGUCAAUUGAUAAGUGUGUAUUUUGCAUGUUUUGAACAUCCAUUUGUCAUCACUUUAGCAUCAUAUCAUCACUGUUUUAUACCAUUUCUCAUCAUUUGUCAUCACUUUGCAUGUUUAGGAUAGCGUUUGAAUGCAUGUUGCAUAUUUGUGUUGAUUUCAGGUGAUUUGGAGUUGUUGACGAGCUAACUGGAAGAAGCGGACCUGAUCAUGUCAAACCACUCGACCACAAGGUCGAGUAGAAGCUUCAAGACCUCAACAGACCACUCGACCCCCUGGUCGAGUAGGGGACUUCACAAUUUCAUCUCAUCACUCGACCCCCUGGUCGAGUGUAUUCACCUCCACCACCUGACCGUCACUCGAUCACAUCAUUCGACCUCGAGGUCGAGUGUCUUCACCUCCACCACCUGACCAUCACUCGAUCACGUCACUCUAUCUGGAAGUCGAGUAUCUUCAUCACCACUAGUCGACUACAUACUCGAUGGCAAGCUUCAGAGUCUCCAUUCCGCACUCAACCAGACACUCGAGCACAAGGAAGAAAAGAAGACUCCAUCUCAUCACUCGACCUCUCACUCGACCACAUGGGUCGAAUACAGUUCUUAAUCCGUCCCAAUAUUGCGUCGUUUUGAGUAUUAGGGUUUCAGAAUAUUUUGCUAUAAGUAGCAUGUACUUUACAUUUUCGAGAACAAGUUUUUAUCUAGUUUUAUUCCGCAGACACUAUGUUCUAGACCUUUUGUAAUCCGGAUUUCUCUUUAUCUAUUCAGUAUUCAGUAUUUGUUCUUGAUUUCGUUUACAGUUGUUCAUCCUGUUAUCAUUUUGCUAUUACUCUGUUGUUAUCAUGUUUUCAAUCCAUUCAACGUUUAUGCUUUCUGCAAUGAUGUCUCAAUAGUGAAUAGGUUUUCUGAGGAUGGGUUAGAGUAGUUGUUCUUAAUGCCUAUUGCUUUUUGAUCAACCGGAAUUUGAGCACAGACAUUUCCGCGCCCAAAAGGUGUUCGAUGAAAUGUGUGAACCACUAAUUCCAGAGAUUCAUGACCUUGUACCAAGGUAUUGGUUGCAGGGAGCGUUUUGGCUUUAACUUGUUGAUUCGUAAUGCCUGUUAGGUUAGCUCUCGUCAAUGGUGAUUGAGUCUGGGACUAGGUUAACUUGAGGGUCUCUGUUGCGGUGGCAUUUAGAUUUGGUUAAUGAACUUGUUGUCUAGGGAUAAUUUAUUGAGCAUGUCAAUCACCUGUAAACUGAGGAAACGAAACUACUCAGUUACCCCAUCUUCGGGAAUUCUUUAUCUGAUUGAUUUUAUUGUUUACUCUACUGCUGUUUACUACAUCUUGUCAUCUGUUGCUUAGUCUCUGCAAUUCUUUCCUUUUACUCGACCUGAUACUCGACCACCCUGUUGUUUAGCAACAGACUGUGCAGUCGAGUGUCUCUGUUUCGUUUAGUGACUGUUACUCGACCAAGUCACUCGACCACACCUACUGUUCUGUAACGAGCUGUGUUGGUCGAGUGCUUUUAUUAUUCUGCUUGAAUUUCUGUUUUCUGCAUGUUCACUUAGGACUGCUAGAACACACCAAAACCAGUUAUUGCUUGGCUUGACUUAGUUACUUCUGAUCACAUCUUGAUUGUUAGCAUCACACCCAUUUGGAUUGACAACCUUAAGUACUACAACGACAUGAUAGUGCUUUAGGAUUAAUUGAUCUUAAAAACCUAUUAUCAAUUUGGCGUCGUUGCCGGGGAGAAUCAUGAGUAAUUACAGUGGCAGUUCUUUAGUUGAUUCUCACUACAACAUGGAUGAGACAGAGUCGUCAUCUUCAAGGCCAGAGAGAGAACAGAGAGAAUAUGACAGCUUUAGAAGAAAAGCUGAGAUAGCUCGAGGGAAGAGAGUGAUGACAUAGAGGUAUGAGCUUAUAGAUGAGGAUCUGGAAGACGAGUACAUGCUUGAGCAUACUCGCAGAGCCACCAAAUUUCUGCACAAAGCCGAUGUAUUGCUUGCUGAGGAAUAUAUUAGGCUCUUCAAACUGAAUGAGUUCUGUAGCACGAGGUAUCCUUGCUCGACCACACUUGCACAACUCGAAUUAUUGGAGGAUGUUCAGCACCUGUACCAAAGUUGUCAUCUGGACACUCUGAUGGCUUAUCCGUAUGUAGCAUAUGAAGAAGAGACAAUUAAAUUCCUCUCUACGCUGCAAGUGGAGCUUUAUCAAGGUAUGACUUCUGAUGAGUUGGAUUGUGAAGGAUUGGGAUUCUUGAGAUUCUUUGUGUAUGGUCAUGGGUAUAGGUUAUCAAUCAAGCGCUUGGAAGGAUUGUUUGGUUUCCCCAGUGGAACGAGAACUAAGCCCAAGUAUGAUAGAGAAGAGUUGAAAGAUUUAUGGAUCACCAUUGGCAGCUCUGCACCGCUGAACUCUUCUAGGUCAAAGAGCAAUCAGAUACGUAGCCCUGUCAUCAGGUACUUCCAGCGUUCUAUAGCCAAUGUACUCUACUCACGAGAGAUCACAGUGACUGUUACUAAUUCUGAUAUGGAGAUGAUCGCUAUGGCUCUCAAGGGAACUCUUCGCCAAACUAAGAACGUCAUGUCUCUCCAAGGUGAAAUCAAUGACACACCUCUCUCUGUACUUCUUCUGAUCCAUCUGUGUGCAUACAAGAACUAGGUUGUCAGCAAUAACCACAAGAGAGCACGAGGCGCUCUGUGUAUAAGUGGUGUUGUGACACCGAUUCUGAUAGCUUGCGGAGUCACAAUCACAUCUGAUGGACUCGAGACACGGGCAAUGGAUAUCGAGCAUCUACGUCACUGCAAAUUCCUGGAGUUCGCAAUGGUUGGCGACUUGCACCGGUUCAGGUUUGAGCACUCUACAAAUAAGAGAGCUAGCAUACUUCUCCCUAGCCCUGAGGUUACACGGAUAAUAGAGGGAGAUAACAUUGAUUUUCGGCCUGAGAUUGGACGCCUCUACUAUGAGAACGCUCCGCCAUUGGAUGAGGAUGAUCUUCUAGAAGAGGCUGCUGAGGAUGGGAUGGAUGAAGAACGAGCAGUGGAGUUCGACACUAGCAUGUAUCCCUUUGGUGAACAUGUACCUCGAGCGAGGGAGAGCAAGAGCUUGAGUGAAGCUCAUAGGAACAACAGUAAACUACAAAAGUGGUGCAAGAAGCAGGAGAAGCUGCUCGCCAAGUGUUUCAAGACUAUCAAGUUAUUGAAAGAUAAGCUGAGUUGUUCCUCCUCCACUACUGCUAUUCCAUAGGGUCAGCCUCCUCUAGAGAUGCCAUCGAGGAGAUUUGAUGAGCCUGAGCACAGGCCUGAGCUUAGUGAGCAGAGGGUCUCACAUGUCCAGGCUAGGCAUUCGUCAUUCGAGUCCCGGGAGCACAAGAGAAGGAGGAAGGCUACACUCACUCGAUCUAGCAACAGAUCACGCAUAAUUCACUCGAGGAGAUCACUCGACCGUGGUACUGGCCGCAGCAGAAGAAGGGAGGUCGAGUAUCCUCAGAGCGGUGCUGGCCGCCAUAGAGUUGAUAAGGUCGAGUACCCACCUGCUGGAGCUGAUACGGAACAAGGCGGUUCGUCUAUGGCCUGGGAGCAAUCACAGGCAGCCAUUAACGACCAAUUUUGUUCAUUCUUUGACUGAGGUAAGCGCCUCACUUCACCAUUGUAUUAUAUCAUCUGUUGUGAUUUGUUCUUCAUUUUGUUUCUGUGAUUGAUUUGUCCUGAGUACUCUCUUCCAAGUUUAUUCACACAGUGGACUAUGUGAUUUAAGUUUGGGGGAGGGCUUAGGAAGUGUGUGUUGCAUUGUGUAUAUUUUUGAGUCUGCAUUCAUCUAAGGCAUAGAAAAACAAAAAAAAUUUUGAAAAAUUUCAGAAAAUGAUUUAAAAAAA